This 341-nucleotide ribosomal RNA is filed under the name Cardinium endosymbiont of Aleurotrachelus socialis. Its description in RNAcentral is "bacterial SSU rRNA". It matches the Rfam family "Bacterial small subunit ribosomal RNA", at positions 1033 to 1374 of the family's 1533-position model. The record is from RNAcentral. RNAcentral also lists the same sequence under 1 other name. Lineage: Bacteria; Pseudomonadati; Bacteroidota; Cytophagia; Cytophagales; Amoebophilaceae.
ACAAGGUGCUGCAUGGCUGUCGUCAGCUCGUGCCGUGAGGUGUUGGGUUAAGUCCUAUAACGAGCGAAACCCUUUUACUUAAUUGCCAGCACGUAAUGGUGGGAACUUUAAGUAGACUGCCCGUGUAAGCGGGAGGAAGGAGAGGAUGAGGUCAAGUCAUCAUGGCCUUUAUGCCCAGGGCUACACACGUACUACAAUGGCAUGUACAAAAGGAAGCUACUUGGUAACAAGAUGCAAAUCUCAAAAGCAUGUCUCAGUUCGGAUUGGGGUCUGCAAUUCGACCUCAUGAAGUUGGAAUCGCUAGUAAUCGCGUAUCAGCAAUGACGCGGUGAAUACGUUCU